GAGUUUGAUCCUGGCUCAGAAUAAACGCUGGCGGCGUGCUUAACACAUGCAAGUCGAGCGAGAAAGUCCUUCGGGAUGGGUACAGCGGCGGACGGGUGAGUAACGCGUGAGAAUCUGCCCUUUAGUGAGGAAUACCUUCGAGAAAUCGAAGUUAAUACUGCAUAAGUCCCUUCGGGGAGAAAGCUGGCCUCUUUGCUAGCGCUAAAGGAUGAGCUUGCGUACUAUUAGCUAGUUGGUGAGGUAAUGGCUCACCAAGGCGAUGAUGGUUAGCCGGCCUAAGAGGGCGUACGGCCACACUGGAACUUAGACACGGUCCAGACUCCUACGGGAGGCAGCAGUGGGGAAUAUUGCGCAAUAGGCGAAAGCCUGACGCAGCGACGCCGCGUGGAGGAUGAAGGUCUUCGGAUUGUAAACUUCUAUUAAGUGGGAAGAAAUACCCAUCUCUUAUACAGAUGGGGGAUGACGGUACCAUUAGAGAAAGCACCCGGCUAAACUCGUGCCAGCAGCCCGCGGUAAUACGAGUGGGUGCAAGCGUUAUUCGGAUUUAUUGGGCGUAAAGGGUGUGUAGACGGUAUAUCAAGUCAACUGUUUAAUUCUCCGGCCUAACCGGAGGUCAGCGGUAGAAACUAAUAUGCUAGAGGGUGGAAGAGAGAAGUGGAAUUCUCGGAGUAGCGGUAAAAUGCGUAGAUCUCGAGAGGAACACCAAUGGCGAAGGCAGCUUCUUGGUCCAUACCUGACGUUGAAACACGAAAGCGUGGGGAGCAAACAGGAUUAGAUACCCUGGUAGUCCACGCUGUAAACGAUGAUCACUAGACGUUAGUUCCGUUUACGGAAUUAGUGUCGUAGCUAACGCGUUAAGUGAUCCGCCUGGGGACUACGGUCGCAAGAUUAAAACUCAAAGGAAUUGACGGGGGCCCGCACAAGCGGUGGAACAUGUGGUUUAAUUCGACACUACGCGAGGAACCUUACCUAGGCUUGACAUGCUUUUGACCGUCGUAGAAAUACGAUUUUUUGGGCUUCGGUCUAGACAGAUGCACAGGUGCUGCAUGACUGUCGUCAGCUCGUGUCGUGAGAUGUUGGGUUAAGUCCUCUAACGAGCGCAACCCCUGCUGCCAGUUGCAAUUGCGUAAGCAAGCACUCUGGUGGGACUGCCUGGGAAACCAGGAGGAAGGUGGGGAUGACGUCAAGUCAUCAUGGUCCUUAUGCCUAGGGCUACACACGUGUUACAAUGGCCAGUACAAAGAGCUGCAAGCUUGUAAAAGUGAGCUAAUCUCAAAAAGCUGGUCUAAGUUCGGAUUGAGGUCUGCAACUCGACCUCAUGAAGUUGAAAUCGCUAGUAAUCGCAUAUCAGAAUGAUGCGGUGAAUACGUUCUCGGGCCUUGUACACACUGCCCGUCACGCCAUGAAAGCUGUUUGUACCCAAAGUUGUCUUAGCCAACCGGAAACGGAGGCGGGCACCUAAGGUAUGGAGAGUGAUUGGGGCAAAGUCGUAACAAGGUAACCGU
RNAcentral lists this ribosomal RNA (1505 nucleotides) under uncultured bacterium. Its description in RNAcentral is "bacterial SSU rRNA". It matches the Rfam family "Bacterial small subunit ribosomal RNA". The record is from RNAcentral.